RNAcentral lists this ribosomal RNA (1126 nucleotides) under Planctomycetia bacterium. Its description in RNAcentral is "bacterial SSU rRNA". It matches the Rfam family "Bacterial small subunit ribosomal RNA", at positions 1 to 1124 of the family's 1533-position model. Lineage: Bacteria; Pseudomonadati; Planctomycetota; Planctomycetia. The record is from RNAcentral.
UAAACUGAAGGGUUUGAUACUGGCUCAGAACGUACGCUGACGGAAUGGAUUAGGCAUGCAAGUCGAACGCUUGAGCUCUUCGGAGCAAUAGAGUGGCGAACGGGUGAGUAAGGCGUGAAUAACCUACCUUGAUGAGGGGGACAACCAUUCGAAAGGAUGGCUAAUACCCCAUAAGCUCCUACGGGAGGAAAGCUGGCUUUGCUGGCGCUUCAGGAGGGGUUCACGUACUAUUAGCUUGUUGGUGGGGUAAUGGCCUACCAAGGCGAUGAUGGUUAGCCGGCCUGAGAGGGUGUCCGGCCACACUGGGACUGAGACACUGCCCAGACUCCUACGGGAGGCUGCAGUCGAGAAUCUUCCACUAAUGCGCGAAAGCGUGAUGGAGCAAUUCCGUGUGUAGGAUGAAGGCCUUAGGGUUGUAAACUACUGUUGGAAAGGCGUAAUCCCUGGGUGUUAAUACCACUCCAGGUUGAACUCCUUUCGGAGGAAGCAGCGGCUAAAUUCGUGCCAGCAGCCGCGGUAAUACGAAUGCUGCAAGCGUAGUUCGGAAUCACUGGGCAUAAAGGGCACGUAGGCGGCUUGUUAAGUCAGCUGUGAAAUCCCUCGGCUCAACCGAGGAACUGCAGCUGAUACUGACAGGCUUGAGUUCGGGAGGGGAGAGCGGAAUUCCUGGUGGAGCGGUGAUAUGCAUAGAGAUCAGGAGGAACGCCGGUGGCGAAAGCGGCUCUCUGGACCGAAACUGACGCUGAGGUGCGAAAGCUAGGGGAGCGAACAGGAUUAGAUACCCUGGUAGUCCUAGCCGUAAACGAUGGGUACUAAGUGGGGGGACUCCCAAGGUCUCCCUGCCGGAGCUAAUGUGUUAAGUACCCCGCCUGGGGAGUAUGGUCGCAAGGCUAAAACUCAAAGUAAUUGACGGGGGCUCACACAAGCGGUGGAGCAUGUUGUUUAAUUCGAUGCAACGCGAAGAACCUUACCUGGGCUUGACAUUUAUGUGGUACCAAACCGAAAGGGGCGGGACCGUCUUUUGGCGGAGCAUAAACAGGUAUUGCAUGGCUGUCGUCAGCUCGUGUCGUGAGAUGUUGGGUUAAGUCCCGUAACGAGCGCAACCCUUAUCCUUAGUUGCCAGCAC